UACGUAGGGCGCAAGCGUUAUCCGGAAUUAUUGGGCGUAAAGAGCUCGUAGGCGGUUUGUCGCGUCUGCCGUGAAAGUCUGGGGCUUAACUCCGGAUCUGCGGUGGGUACGGGCAGACUAGAGUGCAGUAGGGGAGACUGGAAUUCCUGGUGUAGCGGUGAAAUGCGCAGAUAUCAGGAGGAACACCGAUGGCGAAGGCAGGUCUCUGGGCUGUAACUGACGCUGAGGAGCGAAAGCAUGGGGAGCGAACAGG
RNAcentral lists this ribosomal RNA (253 nucleotides) under uncultured bacterium. Its description in RNAcentral is "partial 16S ribosomal RNA". It matches the Rfam family "Bacterial small subunit ribosomal RNA", at positions 524 to 776 of the family's 1533-position model. The record is from RNAcentral.